Molecule: non-coding RNA, 72 nt
Organism: Frankia sp.
Lineage: Bacteria; Bacillati; Actinomycetota; Actinomycetes; Frankiales; Frankiaceae
Source: Rfam
GCCCUUGUGGCACAGCGGUAGUGCGUCCCCCUGGUACGGGGAAGGCCGGCGGUUCGAAUCCGCCCUUGGGCU